AUGCAAGUCGAACGGCAGCACAGAGGAGCUUGCUCCUUGGGUGGCGAGUGGCGGACGGGUGAGGAAUACAUCGGAAUCUACUCUGUCGUGGGGGAUAACGUAGGGAAACUUACGCUAAUACCGCAUACGACCUACGGGUGAAAGCAGGGGAUCUUCGGACCUUGCGCGAUUGAAUGAGCCGAUGUCGGAUUAGCUAGUUGGCGGGGUAAAGGCCCACCAAGGCGACGAUCCGUAGCUGGUCUGAGAGGAUGAUCAGCCACACUGGAACUGAGACACGGUCCAGACUCCUACGGGAGGCAGCAGUGGGGAAUAUUGGACAAUGGGCGCAAGCCUGAUCCAGCCAUACCGCGUGGGUGAAGAAGGCCUUCGGGUUGUAAAGCCCUUUUGUUGGGAAAGAAAUCCAGCCGGCUAAUACCUGGUUGGGAUGACGGUACCCAAAGAAUAAGCACCGGCUAACUUCGUGCCAGCAGCCGCGGCAAUACUAAGGGUGCAAGCGUUACUCGGAAUUACUG
This 512-nucleotide ribosomal RNA is filed under the name Pseudomonas aeruginosa. RNAcentral's name for it is "bacterial SSU rRNA". It matches the Rfam family "Bacterial small subunit ribosomal RNA", at positions 55 to 556 of the family's 1533-position model. The record is from RNAcentral. Lineage: Bacteria; Pseudomonadati; Pseudomonadota; Gammaproteobacteria; Pseudomonadales; Pseudomonadaceae.